CCCCUAGAUGUUCUGGGCCGCACGCGCGCUACACUGACCAGUGCAACAAGCAUCCGUCCUUGGCCGACAGGCCCGGGCAAUCUUUGAACGCUGGUCGUGAUGGGGAUAGACUUUUGCAAUUUUUGGUCUUCAACGAGGAAUUCCUAGUAAACGCAAGUCAUCAACUUGCAUUGAUUACGUCCCUGCCCUUUGUACACACCGCCCGUCGCACCUACCGAUUGAAUGGUCCGGUGAAGCCUCCGGAUUGGCGCGCACCUCGGUGCCGCCGAGAAGUUGGCUAAACCUUACCAUUUAGAGGAAGGGGAAGUCGUAACA
This 315-nucleotide ribosomal RNA is filed under the name uncultured eukaryote. Its description in RNAcentral is "partial 18S ribosomal RNA". It matches the Rfam family "Eukaryotic small subunit ribosomal RNA", at positions 1470 to 1796 of the family's 1831-position model. The record is from RNAcentral.